AGAGACAGCAGCAGCCGCGGGAAUACGGAGGGUGCAAGCGUUAAUCGGAAUUACUGGGCGUAAAGCGCUCGCAGGCGGUCUGACAAGUCAGAUGUGAAAUCCCCGGGCUUAACCUGGGAACUGCAUUUGAAACUGUCAGGCUGGAGUCUUGUAGAGGGGGGUAGAAUUCCAGGUGUAGCGGUGAAAUGCGUAGAGAUCUGGAGGAAUACCGGUGGCGAAGGCGGCCCCCUGGACAAAGACUGACGCUCAGGUGCGAAAGCGUGGGGAGCAAACAGGAUUAGAUACCCGUGUAGUCCCUGUCUCUUAUAC
Molecule: ribosomal RNA, 309 nt
Filed under: uncultured bacterium
Lineage: Bacteria
Description: partial 16S ribosomal RNA
Rfam family: Bacterial small subunit ribosomal RNA
Source: RNAcentral